Molecule: ribosomal RNA, 1456 nt
Filed under: uncultured organism
Description: SSU rRNA
Rfam family: Bacterial small subunit ribosomal RNA
Source: RNAcentral
GCCUAAUACAUGCAAGUAGAACGCUGAAGAGAGGAGCUUGCUCUUCUUGGAUGAGUUGCGAACGGGUGAGUAACGCGUAGGUAACCUGCCUUGUAGCGGGGGAUAACUAUUGGAAACGAUAGCUAAUACCGCAUAACAAUGGAUGACACAUGUCAUUUAUUUGAAAGGGGCAAAUGCUCCACUACAAGAUGGACCUGCGUUGUAUUAGCUAGUAGGUGAGGUAACGGCUCACCUAGGCGACGAUACAUAGCCGACCUGAGAGGGUGAUCGGCCACACUGGGACUGAGACACGGCCCAGACUCCUACGGGAGGCAGCAGUAGGGAAUCUUCGGCAAUGGGUGCAACCCUGACCGAGCAACGCCGCGUGAGUGAAGAAGGUUUUCGGAUCGUAAAGCUCUGUUGUAAGUCAAGAACGAGUGUGAGAGUGGAAAGUUCACACUGUGACGGUAGCUUACCAGAAAGGGACGGCUAACUACGUGCCAGCAGCCGCGGUAAUACGUAGGUCCCGAGCGUUGUCCGGAUUUAUUGGGCGUAAAGCGAGCGCAGGCGGUUUGAUAAGUCUGAAGUUAAAGGCUGUGGCUCAACCAUAGUUCGCUUUGGAAACUGUCAAACUUGAGUGCAGAAGGGGAGAGUGGAAUUCCAUGUGUAGCGGUGAAAUGCGUAGAUAUAUGGAGGAACACCGGUGGCGAAAGCGGCUCUCUGGUCUGUAACUGACGCUGAGGCUCGAAAGCGUGGGGAGCGAACAGGAUUAGAUACCCUGGUAGUCCACGCCGUAAACGAUGAGUGCUAGGUGUUGGAUCCUUUCCGGGAUUCAGUGCCGCAGCUAACGCAUCAAGCACUCCGCCUGGGGAGUACGACCGCAAGGUUGAAACUCAAAGGAAUUGACGGGGGCCCGCACAAGCGGUGGAGCAUGUGGUUUAAUUCGAAGCAACGCGAAGAACCUUACCAGGUCUUGACAUCCCGAUGCUAUUUCUAGAGAUAGAAAGUUACUUCGGUACAUCGGUGACAGGUGGUGCAUGGUUGUCGUCAGCUCGUGUCGUGAGAUGUUGGGUUAAGUCCCGCAACGAGCGCAACCCCUAUUGUUAGUUGCCAUCAUUCAGUUGGGCACUCUAGCGAGACUGCCGGUAAUAAACCGGAGGAAGGUGGGGAUGACGUCAAAUCAUCAUGCCCCUUAUGACCUGGGCUACACACGUGCUACAAUGGUUGGUACAACGAGUUGCGAGUCGGUGACGGCAAGCUAAUCUCUUAAAGCCAAUCUCAGUUCGGAUUGUAGGCUGCAACUCGCCUACAUGAAGUCGGAAUCGCUAGUAAUCGCGGAUCAGCACGCCGCGGUGAAUACGUUCCCGGGCCUUGUACACACCGCCCGCCACACCACGAGAGUUUGUAACACCCGAAGUCGGUGAGGUAACCUUUUGGAGCCAGCCGCCUAAGGUGGGAUAGAUGAUUGGGGUGAAGA